GAUGAAGAACGCAGCGAAAUGCGAUAAGUAAUGCGAAUUGCAGAAUUCCAGUGAGUCAUCGAAUCUUUGAACGCACAUUGCGCCCUUUGGUAUUCCGAAGGGCAUGCCUGUUCGAGCGUCAUUAUCACCCCUCAAGCCCCCGGCUUGGUGUUGGACGGUUUGGUGGAGGCCCCCUCGGGGGCUCCUGCCCCUCCCAAAGACAAUGACGGCGGCCUCGUUGGACCCCCGGUACACUGAGUUCUUCACGGGACACGUAUCGGACACAUGGGUUUACGGGACACGGUCUGCCUCCCCUCAGGGAGAAUCUUUCUAAGGUUGACCUCGGAUCAGGUAGGGAUACCCGCUGAACUUAAGCAUAUCAAUAAGCGGAGGA
This 373-nucleotide unclassified non-coding RNA is filed under the name soil metagenome. RNAcentral's name for it is "partial contains 5.8S ribosomal RNA, internal transcribed spacer 2, and large subunit ribosomal RNA". The stretch from base 1 to 121 matches the Rfam family "5.8S ribosomal RNA", at positions 35 to 154 of the family's 154-position model. The record is from RNAcentral.